Molecule: ribosomal RNA, 423 nt
Filed under: uncultured prokaryote
Description: bacterial SSU rRNA
Rfam family: Bacterial small subunit ribosomal RNA
Source: RNAcentral
UAAGGAAUAUUGGUCAAUGGACGCAAGUCUGAACCAGCCAUGCCGCGUGAAGGAAGACGGCCCUACGGGUUGUAAACUUCUUUUGUACAGGAAAAAACCACCGGUCGUGAAUCGGUGCUGAUGGUACUGUAAGAAUAAGCAUCGGCUAACUCCGUGCCAGCAGCCGCGGUAAUACGGAGGAUGCAAGCGUUAUACGGAUUCAUUGGGUUUAAAGGGUGCGCAGGCGGAAUGAUAAGUAAGUGGUGAAAUCUCUCGGCUCAACUGAGAAACUGCCAUUGAUACUGUCGUUCUUGAGUACACUUGGAGUGGGCGGAAUGUGUCAUGUAGCGGUGAAAUGCUUAGAUAUGACACAGAACACCGAUCGCGAAGGCAGCUCACUAAGUUGUAACUGACGCUCAGGCACGAAAGCGUGGGGAUCAAACA